UAGGGAAUCUUCCGCAAUGGGCGAAAGCCUGACGGAGCAACGCCGCGUGAGUGAUGAAGGUCUUCGGAUCGUAAAACUCUGUUAUUAGGGAAGAACAAAUGUGUAAGUAACUAUGCACGUCUUGACGGUACCUAAUCAGAUAGCCACGGCUAACUACGUGCCAGCAGCCGCGGUAAUACGUAGGUGGCAAGCGUUAUCCGGAAUUAUUUGGCGUAAAGCGCGCGUAGGCGGUUUUUUAAGUCUGAUGUGAAAGCCCACGGCUCAACCGUGGAGGGUCAUUGGAAACUGGAAAACUUGAGUGCAGAAGAGGAAAGUGGAAGUCCAUGUGUAGCGGUGAAAGGCGCAGAGAGAUGGAGGAACACCAGGGGCGAAGGCGACUUUCUGGACUGUAACUGACGAUGAUGUGCGAAAGCGUGGGGAUCAAACAGG
This 429-nucleotide ribosomal RNA is filed under the name Bacteroidota bacterium. RNAcentral describes it as "Bacteroidetes bacterium partial 16S ribosomal RNA". It matches the Rfam family "Bacterial small subunit ribosomal RNA", at positions 355 to 776 of the family's 1533-position model. The record is from RNAcentral. Lineage: Bacteria; Pseudomonadati; Bacteroidota.